UUGAGAGCCAAAAAUGUCAGAUUCGCUCGCAGUUCUCUAUAAUCUUCUAACUCAGUUAUCAGAUGGCAUACUGGACUCUCUCUCCGCAGUAAACUACACUCCUCCAGAAGGCUCCACUGUCUCUACCAAAUCCAUACUCGAAUCUCUUCUCUCUAAACAAAACUUCAAGCGUAACCCUGAAAUCACUGAAACCCAACUCCACAAUUCAAUCAAGG
This 215-nucleotide unclassified non-coding RNA is filed under the name Hevea brasiliensis (rubber tree). The record is from RNAcentral. Lineage: Eukaryota; Viridiplantae; Streptophyta; Magnoliopsida; Malpighiales; Euphorbiaceae.